GAUGAACGCUGGCGGCGUGCCUAAUACAUGCAAGUCGAGCGAACGGACGAGAAGCUUGCUUCUCUGAUGUUAGCGGCGGACGGGUGAGUAACACGUGGAUAACCUACCUAUAAGACUGGGAUAACUUCGGGAAACCGGAGCUAAUACCGGAUAAUAUUUUGAACCGCAUGGUUCAAAAGUGAAAGACGGUCUUGCUGUCACUUAUAGAUGGAUCCGCGCUGCAUUAGCUAGUUGGUAAGGUAACGGCUUACCAAGGCAACGAUGCGUAGCCGACCUGAGAGGGUGAUCGGCCACACUGGAACUGAGACACGGUCCAGACUCCUACGGGAGGCAGCAGUAGGGAAUCUUCCGCAAUGGGCGAAAGCCUGACGGAGCAACGCCGCGUGAGUGAUGAAGGUCUUCGGAUUGUAAAACUCUGUUAUUAGGGAAGAACAUAUGUGUAAGUAACUGUGCACAUCUUGACGGUACCUAAUCAGAAAGCCACGGCUAACUACGUG
This 497-nucleotide ribosomal RNA is filed under the name uncultured bacterium. Its description in RNAcentral is "partial 16S ribosomal RNA". It matches the Rfam family "Bacterial small subunit ribosomal RNA", at positions 28 to 507 of the family's 1533-position model. The record is from RNAcentral.